AAGCUUGAGUUGAGAUAGGGUGACCAUAAGCCCUCUUUUACCUGGACAUGUCCUCUUUUUGGGGGGCUGUACAGCUUUGUACAGGGGAGUUUAUAUGAUCCUCCAAAUGUCCGGGGUUUUGUAUGGAAGUUUUGAGGUUGUGUCACGUGGACUUACUGAUUUAGAAGCACGUAGGAAACACCAGAUACGACCCGUAAAACUCUAAAACUUAACUACGCAUGACUCCAUGACUCUGCCCCCUCUUCCUAGGUCAUCCUAGUUGAAAUAUUUUCAACUCUUGUGAGUAGGCAUUUGAGGUAAGCAGUGCGUUGGACGUGCCAUGAAGUCACAUCAUUUGCAUGAAUAGGCAGCUGAAUUUGCACGGUUAGCGCCGCGCAAUUCGUGCCGUGCAACUCGUGUCAUGUGCGUCACUGGAGUAGAACUCACGUCUAAUCACUUCUUUGUAUUGACUUUACAUGUAAUUUACUUAUGCUAAUUUGUUUAUUUGUUUAUAAAUUUGAAGCAAGUAGCAUGUUGGACGUGCCACAAAGUUGCAUCAUUCGCAUGAAUAGGCAGCUCAAUUUGCAUGGGUUUUUGACACGCAAUUCACGCCGCACAACUUGUGUGAUGUGCACCACCAGAGUAGAACUCAUGUCAAAUCACGUUUUACUCAUUAUGUUAGUUUGCUUAAACCAAAUUUUUAACCACGGCCACUAAAAGUCCAGUAAAAGUCCAGCUGUUCAACUAGCGCUGGGUGAUAAAACCAUAACGCUAAUUAUUGUGAUGGAAUUGUUCUGUAAAACAAACUCUGACCACUAGGUGGAAAAAGACGCAGUGCUAAUGCUGCUAAAUUCUGAUAGUAGAAAGAAAAGAUAAGAAAAUCGAGGGCAGCCAAUCAGAGAGACACUUGAGAUGGAAAGAAAACAACUAAAAUUUGAAACGGCAACUUUAGCCUGUAAAUAAUAAUUGACUGUACGUGUUAGCAUCAAGCUAACAAACUUCAGUUUUCCUGAAUGCUGUAAUUAGCUGUAGAUUUCUCAGCGAUGUGUUACACAGUAUAUAUGCAUGUUUAAUUUUGACAAAGUGACAAAUUGUGUUUUAUUUCUGUAUUUCUGGGCCUGUAUUUCUGAACAGCCUGGACCUGGAGGACUCUGUCUUUCAUUACUGGAACUAAUUAUCCUUUAUUUAGCGCCAAACUUCAAGGAGGACAAAGGAUAUUAAUAUUAUUGUUUAUAAGUUAUUUCCCACUGCUUCAUACCAUAAAUACUGAGGCCAGGCUAGAUAUUUAUUUUUCUUCGAUGAGAUCAUGCAAUUAAUUACUGUAAAAUAAUAGCAAUAAUGAUAAAUAAAUAAACAAUACUUUUCUGUUUUGAGUGAGAUCAUUUGUACAGGACAAACCUAAAGCUCUUUGAUUAUUUGGGGAGACCAGAUUGAAGAAACUGGAUACCAGAUAUCAGCUCAAAAUCCUGAUAAAGUGAAACGAUAAUCUCCCUAAAGGAGUGUUUGGUGCUCUGAUUUAGACAUAAUAAACUCUGGUCAACAAACUCCCUCUGCUGUGAUAGACCUGCUGGCUUGGACUUCGCUGUGGGAAAGAGAGAGAUAGUCUUUUUCAAAUCUCAGGGCAAUAAGUAGAGCUUAAUUGAAACACACCAAAAAGAUCUGGCCGCAGGAGGAGCGCCAAGUUAUUAACUGAUGUGUAGAUAGACUUGUUGGGGUUUUCGGCUGAGAGGGAAAGGAGCAGACCUGAUGUUGGAUAAUCCUGAGUCAUUUCCUCUGGACAUAAGACUGCCUGCUUAGCCAGCUGCCUGAUCCAGAUAGCAGGUGGAAAUAAGAGUGAGGAAAUGUUACCAGAGACAUCUAAAAGUAUUCAACAGUAAUGACUCAAAAGCUUUCAUAGAUGAAAUGUGGCCAGGGUUGGUUCCACCUCUGACCUUUGAGCAGAAAUCUAAUCAUAUUACCAGAUAAUUGAGUGACUCCACCCCAGGCCACCCCUUGGAAACAUCCCUGCUAUAGGCGAUCCAUAUAUUUUGUUUUGGAGAUACUGCAUUGAGUCAUGAUGUGACUGAGAAAAAGAAGCGGAUUGACACUGAUGUGAAUUCAGUUAAUUUAACCUCUCUUCUUAAAACUCUCCUUCUAACAAAAGGAUCAGAAGAAUAAACAACUCUCAGACCGGGAUCCAUGCACUUAAUUUGCUGGAGCUCUAAUUUCCCUCCUCGUGAAAGGAAUGGGUUCCAGGACAUCACAGCUCAGUCAAUAUGAUAUUGAAAUGUAUCCAGGGUAAAAUUAGAGUGUGGAAUUAAUCAGUAACAAGCCAAUAUGCAGCUCCCUGAUUCUGUUUUCUGUACAUAAAGAAACAUAAAUCAUUGUGAACCUCAUUAAACGGCCAGCGAGCACAGGGUAAUUUACCCAGGAGGCCGCUUGGCUGGAGUCCCUCCCAAAUCCACACAACUGUCUUUGGCCUCAGAGGCCUGGCAGAGCUGAGAGAGAGAGAGGCAGAGGUGAGCACAGACAGGAUCAGAUGGAGAAGGGAGAGAUGGAUGACGGGGUUUUGAAAGAUGAGCUGUCCUCUAUCUCUCUUUAGCCGAUGAUAGUGACCGAGGGACCUGAACCCCGGAGUGAUCGCACUCUGCUCCAGACUCAUCUUACAUCACAAACACUGUCAGCACAUUUCAUACAGGCACAUGCUUUAUUAUGAGUUUUUUAAUUUCAAAGUUUAUGGCUGAAGUUAAUACUUUUUAAGUAUCAAGGAAAGCUUUGGGGACAUGCUGCCAGAUUAUUUUGACUCUCCUAGUAGUAAAGUGGCCUCCUCUUCUGUAUUUUUCACAUGUUGAGUGUUUUCCUCUGCCGUUCUUGUUUCCUUUCUCUCUCUCUCUAGCACCUCGCUCACCCAUCCCUAAUGCCGCCCAGCCUCUGGUAUCCACAGCAGCCUCUCAGCUGCCUCAAUUCAAUCUGUGCUACCUGUGCCACAUUCCCCUUGACACCCCUGCUCCUGUGCUUCUUUACACGUGACUUUACUGUCAACUCCUCUCGGUCUCUGAGUCACCCAAACCCUAUCAAGAUGACUGCUACGUAUCAGUAUGCCAGUUUUCUACAUAUACCCCUUUAACCAUCUUAUGACCCUGUCUGUGGUCUUGCAAUUGAGUCCCGUUAUAAGUUGUUGGUAAAUAACUGUAAUAUAAAUCUUGAUCAUUUCUGUCUAAACGUGACUAAAAAUAACUGCAAGCCCCGAGCAGAGGCAGAAAAGUAGAGUGGCUGACAGGACAAGCCUCAAGCUGUGUCCAAGACGUGAAACAAAUUUUGAUUUCAAAGGUGGGGGGGCACAUGUGACUUGAGUACUGAUGUGACAUGUGGAUUCAGACGUCAAUGUUCAGUUCAGAUUUCUUUAUUUAUUCCACAAUUCAGUUCCCGCCUUUACAUAUAGCCGAGCACACAGCACAACUCGCACACACAGUAACAGAGGAGGCAAUACGACCAGCGGGUGAAUGGAAGUACAAACCCGAUACAUGGAUGUAAAUGAAACCUCCGAUGAAUGUGAUGUUACAGAAGGGAAAAUGAACGCCGCCCAACUGUUGACUUACAUCGGCGAAUGGGCGAAAAAUGAUGUCAACAAGCGGCCCUGUGGCAGAGCCAAUCAAAGACCUUGUGGGUGGUCCAAACCCAUUAAAGGGAACCAGGUUUUGGUUUGAGCAGCCGUUUGGUCCUAGUGUCUGAUGUGUAUCGGUUUGCUUUAGCGUAAAGUAACAUUGUUUUCAGAUGGUUAAAACUGCAGGGGACCAAAACAGGCUUUUGAAAAAUUAUGUUUGAGGUCCAAGAGUCGACUGGGACGGUGACAAGGAGAUGGACCAGCAACAGAAAGGAUCAACUUUGAGAACUGUAGCAAUCAAGAGACAAUAGCGUCCAUCAACCUUCAGCUUCAACUAUCUUGUUGGCCGGGUGGGAAGAUGAGUGGAGCUUUUUUCUCAGCAUGAGUUUGUAAAGUUGACGCGUUACAGCACAAGAGAGUGACAGGCAAAUCCUUUCCUUCAAUGAAAAGCUGAUGAAUGAAUGAGUCAAUAAAUCUCAAACUUUCUGAGAGAAACCGUCUAAAACUUGUCGAAAGUUAUGAUAGACCUGCCAAUGAUGGUGGGAUCUACAAUAACAAUACAAGAACUUUAUUCAUCCCCAAAGGGAUAUUUAGUAUUUGAUGAAACUCAUUGAUUUGGGACCGUGUCGCACUCUGAUGUUUAUGACAUUAUUGUAAUAUGGGAGCUCCUUUGUUCUGAGGCUUUAUUGCUUGAGAUACAGAUGAGACAGAGUUAAAUGAAGGCAGCCUGAGCUUUUCUUGAUCUAGUUUUGAUGUCUAACUGAUGCUGCCAAAAAAAAGAUUUUGAAAAAAUCAUAAUCCUUUUUUCAUUAUUGUUAAAAACUUAAUUUGUGCUCUGUUAGUUUUUAAUCUUAAGUAUUUUACUCUGCCUUAAUCUUGAUUCCCUGCUGUGCAGCUGAAAAAUGAAGUUUGUUUCUCAGGGCAGAUAAGACACAGUUUUCUUUUUUUAACAUCAAGUUUUACUGUCUUAAAAUCCCCCGUUUUUAUUGAUUUGCUCCACAUUUCACACAUGGUUUAUAGAUCCCCAGAGGGUCCAGAGGCUGUCUUAAUACCACAACAGCUGUGAAUAAAUCUGAUCCAGCUGGUCCCAAAAUUAAAAUAAAUGUGCUUAAAAUUAACCAAAGAUCACAUUAUGCCAUAAAACAGUGCCUUUACAAGUCAUUUUAAUUGAACUUAUAGGGUCGCAAUUCACCGAAUAACACUCUGUUCUGUUCCUUUAACUGCUGCCUCUGUGAUCCAUCAUUAAGCUUUAGUGGCCUCACUCUCAGUCGAGGUCAAAGGUCAGGUUUUUUGCCCACAAUGGGGAAAUUGUAGCUUUCCCUCGAGCGCAGGUUAUUACUAGAAAAUGCAAAUGCCGAACUCUCGUGCCAUCUAUUUUUAAUCCACGUUUCAUCUGUUCAGACCUAUUCUUGUCCAUCUUGACAGUCUGAAACCUGAAAACCGUGUCUUAUGUUUGAACAUUAAUAAACACCAAACUGCUGUAAUAGACGAAAGAGAGAGGCCGUGUUUUUAGAUUGAUAUUAUUCCUCAUUGAAUUUCAAGGUUGUUUCAGUUUCAUUGAGGAUUCAUCAGAAAUCACAGUUUCACAGCCGCGCUUAGUUAACGUCUCAUUUCUUAACUGUUUCACCACAAGGUUACCACAAGGAGAAUUACAGUGUGUGUGUGCAUGUGUGUAAAUGUGUGUAAUUUAUUCCAUGAGAGAUGUAAUAUGUUGGAGGGUGUUGGUAAUAGGCUGCAAAAUGGACCCUGAAGAUCUAAGAGAGGACCAGCAUUCCCAAAUGACUUUCAAUAAGGCAGAACAGCCGACUCCCUACAUCUGCUCUUUUCCUUCAGUGAUUUUCAUUAAUCACCAGGCUGUGUUAAAUACUCGAUUCUGAUUGGUCGAAACCUCCCCUGACAUUGGUCGACUUCUAUUACAGACUUUCUUAACUGUGUAAGUGUGAUUGUUCUAUUUCUAAAACUGUGUGUUUCUGCCAUUCUUGGCCAGGUCUCCCCGGAAAAAGCCGUCUCUGAUCCUGAUGGGACUCGUCUGGCAAAAUAAAAUAGAAUGAACAAGAAGAACAGUGCGUAAACAUGACCACUUGCAGAGUUACAGGGUGUCCUUUAUCAGUUACCUUUAAAUCUCUGUUGUUUGUCUUGGCAACAGCUCAGAGGACAGAUACAUACAAGAUACAUACCCAAAGGUAUGUUCAGAGGGAUUGUGUUUUACCAGAUGUGCUAGAAAAACCAAAGGGUAUGAAAUAGGCGUGCACCGAUCACAAUUUUCUGGUCGAUCACCGAUUACCAGUCUUUAGAAAGCGUGACCUGCCGAUACUGAUUUUGGCCGAUACCUUUUUUUAAUAACUGACAAAAUACACCUUCGAUGCUCCAAUCUCAUUUUAAUGAAAAACAUUAAACUACGGUGGCCUGGAAGUGCAAAACGCAACUGCAAAUCACAAAACACAACAGCAAAAGAGAAAACGCAAAAGAGAAAACGCAACCACAAAUCCCAAAACAUGACAGCAUCGUCUGUCUUCUUCUUCUUCGUUGUAGUUAAAUGGCAGUUUACUCCGCUGGGGGUGGAGUACUACCGCCACCUGCUGGAUGUUGGAACGGGAAA
This 6161-nucleotide long non-coding RNA is filed under the name Xyrichtys novacula (pearly razorfish). The record is from RNAcentral. Lineage: Eukaryota; Metazoa; Chordata; Actinopteri; Labriformes; Labridae.